RNAcentral lists this transfer RNA (74 nucleotides) under Lachnospiraceae bacterium. Its description in RNAcentral is "tRNA-Gly". It matches the Rfam family "tRNA". From Rfam's summary of the family: Transfer RNA (tRNA) molecules are approximately 80 nucleotides in length. Their secondary structure includes four short double-helical elements and three loops (D, anti-codon, and T loops). The record is from RNAcentral. RNAcentral also lists the same sequence under 1 other name. Lineage: Bacteria; Bacillati; Bacillota; Clostridia; Lachnospirales; Lachnospiraceae.
GCGAGUGUAGUUUAAUGGUAGAACCUUAGCCUUCCAAGCUAAUGAUGACGGUUCGAUUCCGUUCACUCGCUCCA